Molecule: ribosomal RNA, 253 nt
Filed under: uncultured bacterium
Lineage: Bacteria
Description: partial 16S ribosomal RNA
Rfam family: Bacterial small subunit ribosomal RNA
Source: RNAcentral
UACGUAGGGUGCGAGCGUUAAUCGGAAUUACUGGGCGUAAAGCGUGCGCAGGCGGUGAUGUAAGACAGGUGUGAAAUCCCCGGGCUUAACCUGGGCACUGCAUUUGUGACUGCAUCGCUGGAGUGCGGCAGAGGGGGAUGGAAUUCCGCGUGUAGCAGUGAAAUGCGUAGAUAUGCGGAGGAACACCGAUGGCGAAGGCAAUCCCCUGGGCCUGCACUGACGCUCAUGCACGAAAGCGUGGGGAGCAAACAGG